CUCUCCUGCGGAGCUACAGAGCUGUCUGUAUGUCUGCUCACGAGUUUAUGGACUAAUAUCGGGAUAGUUUUACAUCUACACCUUAAAUAUGAGCAUCGGGACGUCAACAGAGAACAGAAGACUUGAGAUCUGAGCACCAGUGGACAGUGAAGACUAUGGAACAGAACAUGUGAUGGCUUUGUGUGGAAAGCUGCAGAAGCCAGCCGGUGACUCCUCAUCAGUCUCUCCAGGCAGCACCCAGCUAUUCUUCCAUCUUGUAGAUGAAAAGACUUUGAUAUCACCUGGACACAGCAGGAACCUACACCAGGAUCUUGUUUGUGGUCUUCAGCUCCGCCUUCAACACCAUCAUCCCGGCUCUGCUGCAGGACAAGCUCUACCAGCUGCACGUGCCCGUCUCCACCUGCAGGUGGAUCACAGACUUCCUGUCUGGGUAGAGCUAACAAACAAGCUAGCUGGUUAGCUUGUUGGUUAGCACCUGUCAACUGAUAAAAGUGAC
Molecule: long non-coding RNA, 496 nt
Organism: Gymnodraco acuticeps
Lineage: Eukaryota; Metazoa; Chordata; Actinopteri; Perciformes; Bathydraconidae
Exons: 3
Source: RefSeq, a predicted model, not a curated record